GAAAGCUAUCUGCUAGGAAUGCCGAGGCCCUCAUCUGGGCCCAGACGACUUGUGGCAGCCCCCACAGGCAUUUUCCUGAACAGAGCCAGUGUUGUGACUGGAUCAGCUCUCGUGGUUCUUAGGAUGAUUGCGAGAUGCGCCCCAGCAACCACCAUCAGAGAACUCGGAAUAACAAGAUUUGUUACUCACAGGUCCUGGAGGGUAUGUGGUGGGCCCAAGUGCCACGCAACAAGAUCUCAGGGAGAGAGAAAGAGAAAGACUGUGGGCCUGGGGCUCUGCCUUUAUGGGGGUCCAAGGGUGGAAGCCUAGGGUUUCACAGGUUCACUCUUUAUUUGCAAAUUUAAAACAUAAGUGUGAGAAUGAGGGUGUGGGAAGGGAAAACGGGUCACUCAAGCAGUCAGUUAUCUAGGAUACCCAGGAUUCUAAAAGGGGAAUUUCAAAGGUGGGGCAGCCUGGUUUCUUAUUGAGUUGUUUUACUAACAGCUGUGUCAUACAGCUGUCAAUGUGUGUAUUCGAGGUGAAUGGCCUUGCAAUGAUGCCUCAGCAAUGAAAAGCUUGAGGUCAGGAACGCAAUGUGAGACGCAACUGCAGGUGUCAGACAGGUAUCUGCUUUCAUUCUUUUGCAUGUGGCUGUCCAGUUUUCUCAACACCAUUUAUUGAAGAGACUCUCCUUUCCCCACUGUAUAUUCUUGGCUCCUUUGUUAAAAAUCUCAUGCAUAUACAAGCAUAUAUAUGCACAUCCUUAGAAAACAAACAGCGAAUGGAAUCAGACAUUUCAGGUGUACAUCAUAGUGACUCGAUAUUCAUACACAUUCGGAAAUGAUCACCAUGACAGAACGAGGAGUUGGAAAACCAGAAGAGCAGAGGAGAUGCUGAGAAAGACAAGACUGCUAGCAGGUGUUCCAAGCACAGAGAGCGCAUUUGAAGGCUACUGCUUGGCUUUUGCUUAUGUGUGAACUGGGGGCCAGUUGUCUUACAAGAAUGGUAAAUAAAGGCAAGGAGUUUUUAACCAA
This 1013-nucleotide long non-coding RNA is filed under the name Equus caballus (horse). RNAcentral describes it as "lncRNA (ENSECAG00000044693.1)". Lineage: Eukaryota; Metazoa; Chordata; Mammalia; Perissodactyla; Equidae. The record is from RNAcentral.